UAAGAUCAAAAUGCAACUGAGCUGUCAUAACGAUAAGGUGCACCUAAAACCGCCAUUAAAAUGAUCUUAGCAAUCUAUUAAACUCCACGAAAGCUAAGACCCAAACUGGGAUUAGAUACCCCACUAUGCUUAGCCCUAAAUCCUGAUGCUUACCCUACUAAAGCAUCCGCCCGAGAACUACGAGCACAAACGCUUAAAACUCUAAGGACUUGGCGGUGCCCCAAACCCACCUAGAGGAGCCUGUUCUAUAAUCGAUAACCCACGAUACACCCGACCACUCCUUGCCAAGGCAGCCUACAUACCGCCGUCACCAGCCCACCUCCCUUGAGAGUGCAACAGUGAGCACAAUAGCCUCAUAAUCCGCUAACAAGACAGGUCAAGGUAUAGCCUAUGGAGUGGAAGAAAUGGGAUACAUUUUCUAAUAUAGAAAACUCACGGAAAGGAAUGUGAAACCAUCCCUAGAAGGCGGAUUUAGCAGUAAAAUGGGACAAUAAAGCCCACUUUAAAUCGGCUCUGAGGCACGUACAUACCGCCCGUCACCCUCC
This 545-nucleotide ribosomal RNA is filed under the name Phegornis mitchellii (diademed sandpiper-plover). RNAcentral describes it as "partial 12S ribosomal RNA". It matches the Rfam family "Bacterial small subunit ribosomal RNA", at positions 656 to 1405 of the family's 1533-position model. Lineage: Eukaryota; Metazoa; Chordata; Aves; Charadriiformes; Charadriidae. The record is from RNAcentral.